RNAcentral lists this ribosomal RNA (414 nucleotides) under uncultured microorganism. RNAcentral's name for it is "bacterial SSU rRNA". It matches the Rfam family "Archaeal small subunit ribosomal RNA", at positions 459 to 872 of the family's 1478-position model. The record is from RNAcentral.
CAGCCGCCGCGGUAAUACCGGCGGCCCGAGUGGCGGCCACUAUUAUUGGGCCUAAAGCGUCCGUAGCCGGGCUGGUAAGUCCCCCGGGAAAUCUGGCGGCUUAACCGUCAGAAUUCCGGGGGAUACUGCCAGCCUAGGGACCGGGAGAGGCCGGGGGUAUUCCCGGGGUAGGGGUGAAAUCCUGUAAUCCCGGGAGGACCACCUGUGGCGAAGGCGCUCGGCUGGAACGCGUCCGACGGUGAGGGACGAAGGCCAGGGGAGCAAACCGGAUUAGAUACCCGGGUAGUCCUGGCUGUAAACGAUGCGGACUUUGUGUCGGACAAGCUAUGAGCUUGUCCGGUGCCGGAGGGAAACCGUUAAGUCCGCCGCCUGGGGAGUACGGCCGCAAGGCUGAAACUUAAAGGAAUUGGCGGG